CCUACGGGUGGCAGCAGUGAGGAAUAUUGGUCAAUGGGCGCGAGCCUGAACCAGCCAAGUCGCGUGAGGGAAGACGGCCCUACGGGUUGUAAACCUCUUUUGCCGGGGAGCAACGGGCGCCACGUGUGGCGCCACUGAGAGUACCCGGAGAAAAAGCAUCGGCUAACUCCGUGCCAGCAGCCGCGGUAAUACGUAGGUGGCGAGCGUUAUCCGGAAUGAUUGGGCGUAAAGGGUGCGUAGGCGGCCUGCUAAGUCUGGAGUGAAAGGUACCGGCUCAACCGGUACAGGCUCUGGAAACUGGCGGGCUAGAGAGCAGGAGAGGGCGGUGGAACUCCAUGUGUAGCGGUAAAAUGCGUAGAUAUAUGGAAGAACACCAGUGGCGAAGGCGGCCGCCUGGCCUGUUGACUGACGCUGAGGCACGAAAGCGUGGGGAGCAAAUAGGAUUAGAUACCCCGGUAGUC
RNAcentral lists this ribosomal RNA (461 nucleotides) under uncultured bacterium. RNAcentral's name for it is "partial 16S ribosomal RNA". It matches the Rfam family "Bacterial small subunit ribosomal RNA", at positions 338 to 795 of the family's 1533-position model. The record is from RNAcentral.